Molecule: ribosomal RNA, 253 nt
Filed under: uncultured bacterium
Lineage: Bacteria
Description: partial 16S ribosomal RNA
Rfam family: Bacterial small subunit ribosomal RNA
Source: RNAcentral
UACGUAGGGGGCGAGCGUUGUCCGGAAUUAUUGGGCGUAAAGAGCGUGUAGGCGGUUCGGUAAGUCUGCCGUGAAAACCUGGGGCUCAACCCCGGGCGUGCGGUGGAUACUGCCGGGCUAGAGGGUGGUAGAGGCGAGUGGAAUUCCUGGUGUAGCGGUGAAAUGCGCAGAUAUCAGGAGGAACACCAAUUGCGAAGGCAGCUCGCUGGGACGUUACUGACGCUGAGACGCGAAAGCGUGGGGAGCAAACAGG